GGGGCAGCAUGGUCUUAGCUUGCUAAGGCUGAUGGCGACCGGCGCACGGGUGAGUAACACGUAUCCAACCUGCCGUCUACUCUUGGCCAGCCUUCUGAAAGGAAGAUUAAUCCAGGAUGGGAUCAUGAGUUCACAUGUCCGCAUGAUUAAAGGUAUUUUCCGGUAGACGAUGGGGAUGCGUUCCAUUAGAUAGUAGGCGGGGUAACGGCCCACCUAGUCAACGAUGGAUAGGGGUUCUGAGAGGAAGGUCCCCCACAUUGGAACUGAGACACGGUCCAAACUCCUACGGGAGGCAGCAGUGAGGAAUAUUGGUCAAUGGGCGAUGGCCUGAACCAGCCAAGUAGCGUGAAGGAUGACUGCCCUAUGGGUUGUAAACUUCUUUUAUAAAGGAAUAAAGUCGGGUAUGCAUACCCGUUUGCAUGUACUUUAUGAAUAAGGAUCGGCUAACUCCGUGCCAGCAGCCGCGGUAAUACGGAGGAUCCGAGCGUUAUCCGGAUUUAUUGGGUUUAAAGGGAGCGUAGAUGGAUGUUUAAGUCAGUUGUGAAAGUUUGCGGCUCAACCGUAAAAUUGCAGUUGAUACUGGAUGUCUUGAGUGCAGUUGAGGCAGGCGGAAUUCGUGGUGUAGCGGUGAAAUGCUUAGAUAUCACGAAGAACUCCGAUUGCGAAGGCAGCCUGCUAAGCUGCAACUG
This 689-nucleotide ribosomal RNA is filed under the name uncultured Bacteroidales bacterium. RNAcentral's name for it is "bacterial SSU rRNA". It matches the Rfam family "Bacterial small subunit ribosomal RNA", at positions 66 to 742 of the family's 1533-position model. The record is from RNAcentral. Lineage: Bacteria; Pseudomonadati; Bacteroidota; Bacteroidia; Bacteroidales.